GAUGAACGCUGGCGGCGUGCCUAAUACAUGCAAGUCGAGCGAACAGAUAAGGAGCUUGCUCCUUUGACGUUAGCGGCGGACGGGUGAGUAACACGUGGGUAACCUACCUAUAAGACUGGAAUAACUCCGGGAAACCGGGGCUAAUGCCGGAUAACAUUUAGAACCGCAUGGUUCUAAAGUGAAAGAUGGUUUUGCUAUCACUUAUAGAUGGACCCGCGCCGUAUUAGCUAGUUGGUAAGGUAAUGGCUUACCAGGGCAACGAUACGUAGCCGAACUGAGAGGGUGAUCGGCCACACUGGAACUGAGACACGGUCCAGACUCCUACGGGAGGCAGCAGUAGGGAAUCUUCCGCAAUGGGCGAAAGCCUGACGGGGCAACGCCGCGUGAGUGACGAAGGGUUUCGGCUCGUAAAACUCUGUUAUUAGGGAAAAACAAACGUGUAAGUAACUGUGCACGUCUUGACGGUACCUAAUCAGAAAGCCACGGCUAACUACGUGCCAGCCGCCGCAGUAA
Molecule: ribosomal RNA, 513 nt
Filed under: uncultured bacterium
Lineage: Bacteria
Description: partial 16S ribosomal RNA
Rfam family: Bacterial small subunit ribosomal RNA
Source: RNAcentral